GGGGAUUUUGCUCAGUGGCAUAAGCGCCUGCCUUGCAAGCAGGCAGUCCUAAUAAUCCCUG
RNAcentral lists this transfer RNA (61 nucleotides) under Cavia porcellus (domestic guinea pig). The record is from Rfam by way of RNAcentral. Lineage: Eukaryota; Metazoa; Chordata; Mammalia; Rodentia; Caviidae.